This 10192-nucleotide long non-coding RNA is filed under the name Triticum aestivum (bread wheat). RNAcentral's name for it is "long non-coding RNA (TAES_LNC028134)". Lineage: Eukaryota; Viridiplantae; Streptophyta; Magnoliopsida; Poales; Poaceae. The record is from RNAcentral.
UUUGUGCAAGUGAAGAGCUCAGUCCUGACCCCUUCUUUGUCUGACUCCAAAUGGUGUAGAGUUUGCAGUUUCUUCUUACUCCUUCCAUCUUGCUCGAGUAGAAUCCCCCAACCUUGCCAACUCAGUUCACCACCUCCCAUCGCACCCACAUCUCUAGUCCUCCGCCGCCAAACUCCUUCUAGCUUGGCAACAGUGUAUUACCAUCGCGUACCAGCCUCAUGUGAAGGGUUUGGAUGGUGGAUGUGUGGGACUGGGAAAGGGGUCGAGAAUCUUAAUGAGAGGGUUGUCGGGCUCUCAAACAAUAAUGCAGAAGAAACACAGUAUGUGUAGGUUUCUGAUUCAACUCAACCCACAACUAAAUUAAAGACUGGGAUGGAUUGGAUCUAGGUAGAUGUGUGGAUGGUACAGUUGAACCAAUAUUCCAAAAUGUGGAUUGUUGUCGUACUAGCCAGAACCCUAACCUCAUUCACGAGAGGGGCCUAGAAUUGUCACUAUCGGGAUAGAACUUAGUGCUCAAUCCAUGAAAUCAAUCUCAUGACAUGUCGUCGUUUCUUAUACUUGUACAGCGUAUCAAAAAUUCCCAAGUAACAAAAAAGGGAAGUCCCCAACUCAAACCCAAAACUUUUAUGUCCAAGUUCUCAUAAUAUGUGGCUUGCGCAAAACAAGAAAGUUCGCUCUUAUGAAAGUUAAUCUUAGUAUAGUUUAGGGGUUAAGUGAGCCCCAAAACUAGCCUGCAAUGAAAAGCGAGAUAAGUCGAUACUUCAGGGGUGACAAGUGAGCGUGGCUCACUAGAGAUUGGGAGCCAUAAUCGCGAUAUCUCCACACGACACUCAUGUUGAACAUACUAUGGUUGCACCCGGGCGCAUGAGGUAGUUAGGAUAGAUAGAUAGAUAGAGAUAGAUUGUUUUCCUUUCUCUCCACGUUCUAUCUCUUCCUUGAAUAUCUCCCUCUCUCUGUAAUCUCAACAAUGUAUGCGCUAUGGUUGGGAGGUGCACCCCAACUCUAUUUAACAUGAACCGGUCGGCCUCAACAGGCUAAGACGUUUCCAGCUAUCGCACAUGGUAGUUAGAGCCAUCCUUUUCCCAUCUAAACUCCAUACAAACUCCAUCUAGCCCUAGCCAUGUCUUCAUCCUCUGUCGCCUCCCAAACCAGCCUCAAUAGCCAGGUUACCGAGAAGCUAACGCGCACAAACUAUGUGCUAUGGCGCACGCAAGUGAUUCCCCAGUUGUGUGGCGCCGGUAUCUUCGGCUACGUCGAUGGCACCCAGCCAGAGCCGGCGAGACUACUCCUCACCACCAAGGACGGCAAGGAGACUUCAUCGCCCAACCCUCUCCACCCAAUCUGGGUCAGGGAGGAUCAGCAGGUUCUCGGAUACCUGCUGAACAAUCUGACACGCGAGGUGCUGCUCACGAUGACCACGGUCACCACCGCGGGCACGCUCUGGACGACGCUCGCCGGCAUGUUUUCCUCGCAGUCCGCCAGCCGCAUCAACAACAUAUGAACCUCCCUCAUCAACGCAUAGAAGGGCAACCUCUCCGUCGCCUCCUACUUCGCCGCCAUGCGCAGCUACGCCGACGAGCUAGCAGUCGCGGGCAAGGCGAUCCCUGACGACGAACUUGCCUCCUACAUCAUCCACGGGCUCGACGCCGACUAUCAGCCCCUAGUCUCUGCCCUAGACACUCGCGUGACCCACGUAACCCUUGAUGAGCUCUUUGCCAUGUUAUCCAAUUUCGAUCAGCGCAUGGCCCAGUUCCAAGGAUCUGGCCGUGGCGGCUUCAAGUUGUCCGCCAACGUGGCCACUCGCGGGCGGGGCGGCGGCUCCCGAUCAUGUGACUCCUCUCGCAACAAGGGCAGGUCCGGCGGCGGCAACCAUGGCAUCAUGCCACCUCAAUCUGGUGGCUGCGGUCGCCGUGGACGCGGUGCUGGUGGUGGAGGCAUAAACCGCCCGGACGCUUCCCGGUGCCAAAUCCGCGGCAAGCCCGGACACACAGUGAAGGACUGCUGGUAUAGGUAUGAGGAGGACGACUACGACUCGCAAGAUGACGAGAAAGUCGCUGUGGCGGCCGAUGGCUCCUACGGCGUCGACACAAAUUGGUACGUCGACAGCGGAGCCACCAACCACAUCACCAACGAGCUCGAGAAAGUCACUAUGAAGGAAAAAUACCGCGGCAAGGAUCAAAUCCACACUGCCAGCGGAGAAGGUAUGAGUAUGCGCCACUUUGGUCACUCAAUAUUUCAUACCCCUCAACGCAAAAUUCAUCUUAGAAAAAUUCUGCAUGUUCCUAGAGCAAAUAAAAGUCUUCUUUCUGUCCAUCGAAUUGCCCUUGACAAUCAUGUCUUUUUGGAAUUUCACCCUUAUUAUUUUUUGAUCAAGGAUCAGGCAACGAGGACAAUUCUCUAUCGAGGUAGAUGCGUUGGCGGCCUCUAUCCGUUGAUUCCGAAGUUUCGAAGACAAAAUAAACAAGCUUGUGGUGCUAUCAAGCUGUCAUCCACACGUUGGCAUGAUCGUUUAGGACAUGCUUCUUUUUCUAUAGUUGAAAAGUUACUUGGGAAAAAUAAACUCCCGUUUGUUGGUGAGCGUCAUAAUGAAACAAUUUGUGAUUCAUGUCAGAGAGCUAAGAGUCAUCAGUUGCCUUACCCAAUUUCUAUCAGUAUUUCUACCAAACCAUUACAGUUGAUUUUUCCUGAUGUUUGGGGCCCUGCUCCCACUUCUGUUGGUAGACACAACUAUUAUGUCAGUUUUAUCGAUGAAUAUAGCAAAUUCUCUUGUAUAUAUCUCUUAAAGAAACGAUCUGAUGUGUUUCAAGUUUUCAAAAACUUUCAAGCUCUAGUUGAACGAAAGUUUGACAGUAAGAUCAUUGUUGUCCAAUCUGACUGGGGAGGGGAGUACGAAAUGUUGAACUCCUUCUUCCAGACACUUGGUAUCUCACACCAUGUGUCAUGCCCUCAUGCUCACCGGCAAAAUGGGUCAGCUGAACGCAAGCAUCGGCACAUCGUUGAAGUUGGCCUUGCUCUUUUGGCCGUCGCUUUCAUGCCUCUUAAAUUAUGGGAUGAAGCAUUUCUCACUGUCGUUCAUAUCAUCAACAUGCUACCUAGUCAUGUCAUUAAUCAUGAAACUCUUAUAGAAAGGCUUCUUCACACAAAACCAGACUAUAAGUCUCUUAGUGUCUUUGGGUGUGCCUGUUGGCCAAACCUACGUCCCUACAAUAAUCGCAAACUCAUGUUUCGAUCAAAACAUUGUGUUUUCCUUGGCUAUAGUGCUCAGCAUAAGGGGGUCAAGUGCCUGGAUGUCUCCACUGGACGUGUCUACAUAUCCCGUGAUGUAGUCUUUGAUGAAACUAAGUUCCCUAUUGUUGAUCUUCACCCUAAUGUCGGCGCACUUCUUCGAGAAGAAAUUCUUCUCUUGCAACCUCAUCUCACUGGCUUUGAUCAAGGGGGACAAAAUAUUGAUGAUCAAUUGUUGGCUAACUCAUCUAAUGGCAUGCAUAAGUCAUGUGUCGAUGCAACAGGUGAAAACGGCGAAGAAAAUGAAGCAAACGGUGCAAAAUUUGGGCUAUAUCCCAUGUGCCCCGUGGCCGGAGACAGACCCGCCUCGGGGUCGGCAAUGGCGCAGGCGAUCAGAUCCGCCUCAGGAUCGCUAACGGUGCAAGAGGGGGGAUCCUCCUCGGGAUCAGCCACCGCAGAGGGGGCAGGCACAGGCGCAGGCGCACGCGCUCCCGUGCCGGAUUCACGCCGCGACGAUCCCGCGUCUGCCACGCGGCCUCCUCCGAUUGGCGUGCAGUACGGUGCCCAACCAGUCAUGUACAAGCGGCGGGACUUGGUACAUGCCAGGGAGGACGCGGGCCCAGCGGGUCCCCCCACGAGCGGUCGGCCGACCGGCGGGCACGUAGAGGCACAGGGCUCGGGAUUCUCUGGGCCAACGGCAGACGCCGCGCUUCAGCCGUUGGCCACAGAAGAUCCGGCCAACCCUGCGGGCGCUGGCGCUGCUGCCGUGACAGGAUCUGCCUCGGGCGCUGGCGCUGCUGCCGUUACAGGAUCCGCCUCGGGAUUAGUUGUAGCUGCAGCUGAUGAUCCUGCACCGCACCCUGGAUCCUCUGCGGCUACGGAUUUUGCUGCCCCACCAUCACGGCGUACACGGUUGCAACAAGGGGUAACUCAACCCGUAAAUUAUAAACAUAUGACUAAAUAUGGUUUGGUCUGUUCCACAGAAGAACCAGAUGAACCCAAAACCUUUGCUGCAGCACUCUGUGAUGAUAAGUGGAAGAAGGCAAUGAAUGAGGAGUACAUGGCACUAAAGAAAAACAAAACAUGGCACCUGGUUCCACCACAACAAGGUAAAAUUUUAAUUGAUUGCAAGUGGGUUUUCAGAAUUAAGAGGAGAUCUGAUGGAACCAUUGACCGCUAUAAGGCUAGGCUCGUUGCAAAAGGUUUCAAACAGCGAUAUGGCAUAGACUAUGAGGAUACUUUUAGUCCUGUGGUAAAAGCUGCCACUAUUCGUCUCGUUUUGUCCAUUGUUGUUUCCAGAGGAUGGAGUCUCAGGCAGCUUGAUGUACAUAAUGCGUUUCUCCAUGGUGUUCUGGAAGAGGAUGUGUACAUGAAACAACCUCCUGGGUUUGAAAGUAAGAAUACUCUUUCUUGUGUGUGCAAGCUUGAUAAAGCCCUAUAUGGAUUAGAACAAGCUCCAAGGGCAUGGUAUUCUCGCAUCUGUCACAAGAUGCAAAAACUUGGAUUUGUUCCUUCUAAAUCAGACACAUCAUUAUUUAUUUAUAACAAAUCCAAUACAUGCAUAUUUGUUCUCAUUUAUGUUGAUGACAUUAUUGUGACCAGCUCAUCUGAUGAAGCAAUCAGAGGUCUCUUAAGCGAAUUGAGUGCAGAGUUUGCGUUAAAGGAUCUUGGAGACUUGCACUUCUUCCUUGGGAUUGAGGUAAAUAAGCAUCAGAAUGGACUUCAUCUCUCUCAAGCAAAAUAUGCGGCUGAUCUGGUUAAAAGGGCAGGAUUGCAAGGUUGUAAACCCUCACUCACUCCAUUAUCCAGCUCAAAAAAAUUGUCUCUUGCAGAAGGUAAACUUUUGAGUCAGGAAGAUAGCGCAAAAUAUAGAAGCCUUGUAGGAGCUCUUCAGUGUCUAACUCUUACCAGACCUGAUUUAUCUUUUGCUUUCAACAAAGUCUGCCAGUUUUUGCAUGCACCUACUGAUGUUCACUUGACAGCUGCCAAGCGUAUAGUCAGAUAUGUUAAACAUACUCUCAAUAUAGGUCUAAAUUUCAGCAAGCCAUCUUCUAUCCUUGUCAGUGGCUUUUCUGAUUCAGACUGGGCAGGGUGCCUGGAUGACAGGCACUCAACAGGUGGUUUUGCAGUGUUUUUUGGGCCUAACUUAAUAUCAUGGUGUGCACGCAAACAGGCUACUGUAUCCAGGUCAAGCACCGAGGCAGAGUACAAAGCAUUAGCAAAUGCUAUAGCUGAAAUCAUAUGGGUUCAGUCUAUGUUGAAAGAGUUUGGGGUAAAGAGUAAACAAGCUCCAUGUCUGUGGUGUGACAAUCUUGGAGCCACUUAUCUUUCUGUUAAUCCUGUGUUCCAUGCCAGAACAAAGCACAUAGAGAUAGACUUUCAUUUUGUGAGAGAGAGAGUUGCUCAAAAGCAACUUGACAUUUGGUUUGUGCAUUCAAAAGAUCAUAUUGCAGAUGGAUUUACAAAGCCUUUGCCCACAAGGAGUUUUGAAGAAUUCAAGCAUAAUCUCAAUUUAAUGAAGUUGUGAUUACGGGAGGGUGUUGAACAUACUAUGGUUGCAGCCGUGCGCAUGAGGUAGUUAGGAUAGAUAGAUAGAUAGAGAUAGAUUGUUUUCCUUUCUCUCCAAGUUCUAUCUCUUCCUUGAAUAUCUCCCUCUCUCUGUAAUCUCAACAAUGUAUGCGCUAUGGUUGGGAGGUGCGCCCCAACUCUAUUUAACAUGAACCCGUCGGCCUCAACAGGCUAAAACGUUUCCAGCUAUCGCACAACUCAAUCACAAGUAGGUUGAGAUUCAUAGUGCAAGGCUGCAAACACUACAACGAGCAUGACACAUCAUAUAGUUUCUUUUACUUUUCGUUGGCACUUGAGACAAUAGGCAUGGCCUAACAUCGACACCCCUCAUUUAAGCAAAGAAAAAAAAUUCUAUCUCAUCGUAAUGAUCAUCAGGACAGCUUUUUGUCUCUGCCAUUCGCACCAGACAGGGCCGGGCUAUUCGCAGCAAGCAGCAAAGCCACGGCACGAACAACAAGAGCAGCACAACGGGGGGCAAAAGAAGAAAAGACAGAGCGUGGAUUUGUACCAGGAUUAUUCGGCUGGUUCCUUAAAAAACCAGGCACUCGGCCUGGCCGGAAUGCCCAUCAUUUCAGGAAGCAUAUAUGGUGGAGCUUUAACCAACACAACAGUUACGGCACCGCGCGAGUGGCCUCCGGAAUCAUUGCUAGAUCAUGUCACAAACACACUACCUGUACCCAGAAUCGCAUGAAUUCAGGGAGUGAUUGCGCUUUACUUUAUGCGUCUGCAUAAUCAAUCCAACUGCGUACUCCAAGCAUCAGAAUGUUCGGAUUAAAAUGUACAUCUAGUGCAUCUCAAGUACUCCCUCCGUAAAGAAUUAUAAGAGCGUUUAGAUCACUACUAGUGAUCUAAACGCUCUUAUAUUACUUUACAGAAGGAGUACUAUUAGAAAGCAGUGCGUUCGGCGCGUUUGAAAGCAACUCCAGCAUAUUCCCAACCAGGCAAGGGGCUCAUUUUGAGCACAAACAUCAUACAUGUGUCAGGAAAAUAUACAGCAUUGAAGAAUGUGGAAAUGGCAAAGAUACUACCAAAUACAGAGGAGUAUAUGCCAUAAAAUGACAUGCCCAUGAUCUUGUAUAGAAAGAUCCAUGCAGAUAUAAGGUGCCAAUACGUUGUUAUGGAUACAACACAUCAAAAAACAAAACUUCUCAGAAGUAGCAAAAUUUGGCUAUAUAAACGUUUUGGGACUACAGAUAUCAGCGUCGCAAAAUGUAAAGAACGUAAAUAUACCUGGGGUGUAUGGAAACCUAACCAUCAGUGUCCCUUGCAACACAAUAAUGAGCAAAUGUCACAUGUUCAGAUCCACAUUUCUGUACCUUGCCUGACAGAUAAAAAAGCUUCUGGUGCCAUCAAAAAUAUACAUGUUCUUCAAUAAUGAAAACAAUGAUGCAAAGCAAUCACCCAACAAAAUGCACCCCUUGUCUUACGAGUUCUAACAGACAAUAAUGGUACCAUAAGGUAGAAACUUAGAAGCAAUAUUAACUACUCAGUGGUCCAACAAACAUUAAAACAAACUUUUACGCAAUAUGGCGUUAGAAGCUCAACGGUUGAACUAUAUAUCAAUUGUCAGAAUGGCUAGGUAAAGUAAGAAAAACAUUAUUCCAGUGACUGGACAGCAGCAAUACAAAACAAGACUAUGAUAUCCACAUAAGCCAUCAUACACAUAUCACCAAGAAGUUAAGGAAAAGGAAUAGUCAGCAGUCUACACUAAACAAGUACUAGGUCUGUUACCUAUGAUCAGAGGCUACCAAUACCAAGUUAGCAUCAAUGAUUUUUCGUUAAGAUACAAUUUCAUCGAUCACCGUGUCAUAUAAACAUGUACCAUCUCAAGGAAAAUUUGUAAAAGAUGUGGUUAAUAACUUCAAGAAAACAAACCAUAGCUAGUAUACUAACACAGAAAUGAUAUCAAUAUAUCUAUCUUCCACAUCAGAUAUCUCAUGCAAAUUUGAAUCGAUGAACUUCAAAAGGGAACAAAGACAACAGUAUUGUCGAACACCAUGGUAAAUAUGAUUAUGAUAAGAAAAAAUGACAGGGUGAAUGUUCACACACACACAAAAGAAAUACCACUUACGAACAAAACCCUACUUGAGUUGAACAUAAAUUAAAUGACAAGCUAGCAGAUUUACAAUAUAUUAGGUCACACCCAGGUUAUAAACAAACAUAACAUAAAAGCUACAGGUAAUCAAAAUCCUAAUCACACCUAGGCUUCCCAAGUGCAUGGAUUACAUAGCAAGUUAGCAAUCCCAAUAUUUUAAUCGGUGAGUACAAAAGUUGCUUCAACCGAUUAAUCCUUUUCAUCUAUUAGUAAUCGGUGAACAAUAAUUUGUUUCACAGCAAGUCAUUAAUCACAAGACCAAGUUGAUGCCAUAAACUUAACAGGACAAACAAUAGUUUUUCAGGCACACUAGCUGGGGAUUAACAAAUGUCACCCCAUAAGAGUUGGGCUAGUCAUCAAUUAGAUCACCAUCAUCACAAGAAUACAAGCAGCACAUGUCCACAUUACUAGAUCCGUUGAAAUUUUUGUCCAAAGAAAAGGGACGUGACAGAAGUUAGUAGCAUUGAUAAAAAAACAUGUGAUGAUCGUGCCUUCACGGAUAUAAUAUAAAUAAAUAUACACAUAUCAAGCCAAUUUAUUGUGCCAAUUAUAUGCCUCAACAGUCUGUCACUGUUGACCCAGUUUGUCAAGUGACACACGUCUCUGAACACAACACAAUUAUAUGCCCAGGUGCAAUGACAAAAUUCUGGUGUUAAAUUCUUUCAUAUAGAACAAAUUAAGUCCAAGGGCGACUAAAUAGCAGCACCUUAUCUAGUAUGACUAGUUAAAUGGAAACAGAAACAUCAGGCAGGAAAGGAGGAAACCUUGUCCAACAGUAGCAGCAGCAGGUGUACAAUUAGUCAAGCAGCAGCACGAUUCAAGGAGAGAGUCAAGGCCUACGAAGCCCCCAAAGUCUACCAUCUACAAGCUGAUGAAAUAAAGAAGAUAGCUGAACAGUAACCGUGCUCCCCAAAGGAUGGCAACAGUCGACAUGGCGACAUGGACGGACGCCAUCAUCGCGCACAUGAGAUAAUAGCAGCUUUGAUGAUGAAAAGAUAGCCCAGCGACUAACACCAAUCCCAAAAAAAUUAACAUAUACUUCAUCAUGGCUGAUGAGCCAUGCAUGAAUGGCCUGCCCAUGUGCAUGAUGCGGCUGGGUAACUUGCAACAGCAGCUUAAGCAAGCAGGCUAUAGUGUAGCCGACCAAGAUUUUCACCCAGCAAGCAAAGGAGAAAGAAGGCUGCAAUCCCAGGCAGUGAACCGUGUCAAAUCAGGCAUGCAUGGGUUUGCUUUUCACACGCCUUUCUUUCCUUUCCUUUCACAUCUUGUCAAUCCGGCACGGGGAAUCAAUAUGGGGGCUAGCACAAAAAACCAUGGCUGGUAGGAUAGGAAGGUGGAGCACAGCACAGGAAGCAACCAUGAAUGAUCCUGCCUCCUCUCCUCCUCAUGCAUCUCCUCUAGCCUCUUCUACAGCAUCAACAUGCAUGCCAAUUAUCAAAAGAUGAAGAUGCUAGUAACAUAGUUUAACAUGUAGCAUAAGUGUAGUAGUAGAUAAGAUGGUGUAUAAUAAGCGCAAGAAUUCCCUCAUCACAUGCAGCAUUACACACUGGCCUCUCUCUAGGACACAAGUUCCAAUGCAAUUAGAAGAUGCUCUAUCUACAAAGCACAAAGCCAAUGCCAAGAGUGCAUCCAUAUGCCUCCCAUUCCUUCAAUCCUACCUACCCGUGGAAAAAGAUGGGGAAAACAAACAGGGAAAAGGGUGCUCCGAUGAGUGGGUGAGAUAAACAAGAUAGGCAUGGCAAGCAUUGGAUGCCAAAUCGGCCACGCAAAGGAGUGAAAACCAAGCAAGCGAGUGUUGGCAAGAGUCAAACUUUUCUGCUCAGCCUAUCAUGAUAAUCUAUCUAUCUAUCUAUCAGCAGGAGAGAAGCCUGAACAGUGCACGCCUCUGGAUCCCAGCCUGCUCGAAAUGGCACCCACGGCCUACAUGGUUUGCACCCCUGAACACAUCCCCAUAAUUGGAAAGGCAGGCAUUGGGAACAUAAGCAAAGCAUGAGACAAGAAGAAACCAAUUGGACAAAACCAGCAGGCAAUAACCUGAUCAAUUCAGUAUGCAGAGUACUACUAGUGUUGAUUUGAUCUUCAUUAUCUUGUUUAACAUUCCUAAUUGACAAUUAUUCUUCUCUAAGAGUACAUUAGUACUGCUAGAAAAUUAAGGAACUGAUGUCAUACAGCAUGAACAAAUUAAUGGCGAACACCAUGCAUUGCAUUGCACCCCGGCCAUGAGAGGGUUGACAGGUUUGUACUUACUAGCAAUGAAGAGAAGAAAGGAAAGAAUGGUACUGUAGUAAUGAUCUACUAUGUGAC